RNAcentral lists this ribosomal RNA (404 nucleotides) under uncultured bacterium. RNAcentral describes it as "bacterial SSU rRNA". It matches the Rfam family "Bacterial small subunit ribosomal RNA", at positions 29 to 451 of the family's 1533-position model. The record is from RNAcentral.
AACGAACGCUGGCGGCAUGCCUAACACAUGCAAGUCGAACGGGAUCCUAGCUUGCUAGGUGAGAGUGGCGGACGGGUGAGUAACACGUGGGAAUCUGCCUUUUGGUUCGGGAUAACCGCGGGAAACUGCGGCUAAUACCGAAUGCCCCUCGAGAGAGGAAAGAUUUAUCGCCAGAAGAGGAGCCCGCGUCCGAUUAGGUAGUUGGUGGGGUAAAGGCCUACCAAGCCGACGAUCGGUAGCUGGUCUGAGAGGAUGAUCAGCCACACUGGGACUGAGAUACGGCCCAGACUCCUACGGGAGGCAGCAGUGGGGAAUAUUGGACAAUGGGGGCAACCCUGAUCCAGCAAUGCCGCGUGAGUGAUGAAGGCCUUAGGGUUGUAAAGCUCUUUUGCCAGGGAAGAUGA